RNAcentral lists this ribosomal RNA (520 nucleotides) under uncultured Entrophospora. RNAcentral's name for it is "SSU rRNA". It matches the Rfam family "Eukaryotic small subunit ribosomal RNA", at positions 569 to 1083 of the family's 1831-position model. The record is from RNAcentral. Lineage: Eukaryota; Fungi; Glomeromycota; Glomeromycetes; Entrophosporales; Entrophosporaceae.
AGCAGCCGCGGUAAUUCCAGCUCCAAUAGCGUAUAUUAAAGUUGUUGCAGUUAAAAAGCUCGUAGUUGAAUUUCGGGAUUGGCGCAUCGGUCGUGCCUUACGGGGUAUGAACUGGUGCAGUCAAUUUCUCACCUUCUGGAGAACCGCGAUGUCCUUAAUUGGGUGCCGCGGGGAACCAGGACCUUUACUUUGAAAAAUUAGAGUGUUUAAAGCAGGCAUUUUUGCUUGAAUACAUUAGCAUGGAAUAAUAAAAUAGGACGGCAUGGUUCUAUUUUGUUGGUUUCUUAGGACCACCGUAAUGAUUAAUAGGGAUAGUUGGGGGCAUUAGUAUUCAAUUGUCAGAGGUGAAAUUCUUGGAUUUAUUGAAGACUAACUACUGCGAAAGCAUUUGCCAAGGAUGUUUUCAUUAAUCAAGAACGAAAGUUAGGGGAUCGAAGACGAUCAGAUACCGUCGUAGUCUUAACCAUAAACUAUGCCGACUAGGAAUCAGACGAUGUUAAUUUUUUAAUGACUCGUUUGG